Molecule: ribosomal RNA, 498 nt
Filed under: uncultured bacterium
Lineage: Bacteria
Description: partial 16S ribosomal RNA
Rfam family: Bacterial small subunit ribosomal RNA
Source: RNAcentral
AUUGAACGCUGGCGGCAUGCCUUACACAUGCAAGUCGAACGGUAACAGGUCUUCGGAUGCUGACGAGUGGCGAACGGGUGAGUAAUACAUCGGAACGUGCCUAGUAGUGGGGGAUAACUACUCGAAAGAGUGGCUAAUACCGCAUGAGAUCUACGGAUGAAAGCAGGGGAUCGCAAGGCCUUGUGCUACUAGAGCGGCCGAUGGCAGAUUAGGUAGUUGGUGGGAUAAAAGCUUACCAAGCCGACGAUCUGUAGCUGGUCUGAGAGGACGAUCAGCCACACUGGGACUGAGAAACGGCCCAGACUCCUACGGGAGGCAGCAGUGGGGAGUUUUGGACAAUGGGCGCAAGCCUGAUCCAGCAAUGCCGCGUGCAGGAUGAAGGCCUUCGGGUUGUAAACUGCUUUUGUACGGAACGAAAAGCCCCGGGUUAAUUCCCUGGGGUCAUGACGGUACCGUAAGAAUAAGCACCGGCUAACUACGUGCCAGCCGCCGCGGUAA